RNAcentral lists this transfer RNA (87 nucleotides) under Dehalococcoidia bacterium. RNAcentral's name for it is "tRNA-Leu". It matches the Rfam family "tRNA". Rfam says of the family: Transfer RNA (tRNA) molecules are approximately 80 nucleotides in length. Their secondary structure includes four short double-helical elements and three loops (D, anti-codon, and T loops). Further hydrogen bonds mediate the characteristic L-shaped molecular structure. tRNAs have two regions of fundamental functional importance: the anti-codon, which is responsible for specific mRNA codon recognition, and the 3' end, to which the tRNAs corresponding amino acid is attached (by aminoacyl-tRNA synthetases). tRNAs cope with the degeneracy of the genetic code in two manners: having more than one tRNA (with a specific anti-codon) for a particular amino acid; and 'wobble' base-pairing, i.e. permitting non-standard base-pairing at the 3rd anti-codon position. Lineage: Bacteria; Bacillati; Chloroflexota; Dehalococcoidia. The record is from RNAcentral.
GCCGAGGUGGCGGAAUUGGCAGACGCGACGGACUUAAAAUCCGUUGGCCCUCGGGCCGUGCGAGUUCAAAUCUCGCCCUCGGCACCA